RNAcentral lists this ribosomal RNA (292 nucleotides) under uncultured bacterium. Its description in RNAcentral is "partial 16S ribosomal RNA". It matches the Rfam family "Bacterial small subunit ribosomal RNA", at positions 29 to 334 of the family's 1533-position model. The record is from RNAcentral.
AACGAACGCUGGCGGUAUGCUUAACACAUGCAAGUCGAACGGACUUAAGAGAGCUUGCUCUUUUAAGUUAGUGGCAAACGGGUGAGUAACACGUGGGAAUCUACCCAUCAGUACGGAAUAACUUUUGGAAACAAAAGCUAAUACCGUAUAUUCUCUACGGAGGAAAGAUUUAUCGCUGAUGGAUGAGCCCGCGCUAGAUUAGGUAGUUGGUAGGGUAAUGGCCUACCAAGCCGACGAUCUAUAGCUGGUCUGAGAGGAUGAUCAGCCACACUGGGACUGAGACACGGCCCAG